This 72-nucleotide transfer RNA is filed under the name Pseudomonadales bacterium. RNAcentral's name for it is "tRNA-Ile". It matches the Rfam family "tRNA". Rfam says of the family: Transfer RNA (tRNA) molecules are approximately 80 nucleotides in length. Their secondary structure includes four short double-helical elements and three loops (D, anti-codon, and T loops). Further hydrogen bonds mediate the characteristic L-shaped molecular structure. tRNAs have two regions of fundamental functional importance: the anti-codon, which is responsible for specific mRNA codon recognition, and the 3' end, to which the tRNAs corresponding amino acid is attached (by aminoacyl-tRNA synthetases). tRNAs cope with the degeneracy of the genetic code in two manners: having more than one tRNA (with a specific anti-codon) for a particular amino acid; and 'wobble' base-pairing, i.e. permitting non-standard base-pairing at the 3rd anti-codon position. Lineage: Bacteria; Pseudomonadati; Pseudomonadota; Gammaproteobacteria; Pseudomonadales. The record is from RNAcentral.
UUGGGGAAGCAAUCGAGGUGGUUGAUCGCUCUCAUAAAGCGACUGCGGUGGGUUCAACUCCCACUCCCCGAA